CUGGUUGAUCCUGCCAGACCCGACUGCUAUCAGAGUGGGACUAAGCCAUGCGAGUCAACAUAGCAAUAUGUGGCAUACGGCUCAGUAACACGUAGUCAACAUGCCCAGGGGACGUGGAUAACCUCGGGAAACUGAGGAUAAACCACGAUAAGUCACUACUUCUGGAAUGGGUAAUGACUCAAAUCUAUAUGGCCCCUGGAUUGGACUGCGGCCGAUCAGGCUGUUGGUGAGGUAAUGGCCCACCAAACCUGUAACCGGUACGGGCUCUGAGAGGAGGAGCCCGGAGAUGGGCACUGAGACAAGGGCCCAGGCCCUAUGGGGCGCAGCAGGCGCGAAACCUCUGCAAUAGGCGAAAGCCUGACAGGGUUACUCUGAGUGAUUUCCGUUAAGGAGAUCUUUUGGCACCUCUAAAAAUGGUGCAGAAUAAGGGGUGGGCAAGUCUGGUGUCAGCCGCCGCGGUAAUACCAGCACCCCGAGUGGUCGGGACGUUUAUUGGGCCUAAAGCAUCCGUAGCCGGUUCUACAAGUCUCCCGUUAAAUCCACCUGCUUAACAGAUGGGCUGCGGAAGAUACUAUAGAGCUAGGAGGCGGGAGAGGCAAGCGGUACUCGAUGGGUAGGGGUAAAAUCCGUUGAUCCAUUGAAGACCACCAGUGGCGAAGGCGGCUUGCCAGAACGCGCUCGACGGUGAGGGAUGAAAGCU
Molecule: ribosomal RNA, 700 nt
Filed under: uncultured archaeon
Lineage: Archaea
Description: bacterial SSU rRNA
Rfam family: Archaeal small subunit ribosomal RNA
Source: RNAcentral